RNAcentral lists this long non-coding RNA (2746 nucleotides) under Mus musculus (house mouse). Its description in RNAcentral is "long non-coding RNA chr7:92841788-92844534". The record is from RNAcentral. Lineage: Eukaryota; Metazoa; Chordata; Mammalia; Rodentia; Muridae.
UCACAGUGCAAUACAAACCUCUUGUUGAUUUCAUUCUCCAUGGGAAGAAAAUGGCUUGGUUGUUAUCUGUCAGGGGUCCCACUUGCUGUCUGUUAUUGCCCAUUGUCAGCUAUUUGAAAACAAAGUCGUAACAGUGUGUGAAGGUGGCGGUGAUCCUUAUCCUCCUGGUGAACAUCAGGACAGUUGUUGACUAGCUCUUAAUUUCUUACUGGGAUCAGAUUUAGAUAAUCCUAUUGUUGAUUAGUUCUUUAAUUAUCCAUGCAUUUCUCCCUUUACUAAUAAUGUAUAGUGGAUAUCCCAGCAAGACUAAUUCUGGUUCUGUGACUCUUCUCCAUCUAUAGGUAGAAAUGAUAUCAUAAAUCCCAGUUAUGUGAUCUGCUUUUAGAUUUAAUUCUACAUCAACAUUAUUGUAUGAAUGUAUUACUAAUACUUUAAAUGUUUUUAUCUCCCUUUCUAUGUGUGUGCUACAUUUUGAAAUAAAAAUUAGGGUACUAACUUCCUAAUAGAGCAAAAAUUCAAGUGCAGGGUUAAGAAAAGAAUUUGUUUGGUUAGAAUAAUUCACUAGCUGAUGAAUGGCACAUCGCUUUUGUUUAAUAUUACACAGUUAUGCCUGGAUUAAAUAAUAAUAAUAAACUUGAUAAAGCCCUCUGAAAAACAGCUGCUAAGCGUACUGCUUCUGGAAUGUAAUCAUUAGGAGUAAAUAUUUUCAUGUUCUAUACAAUUACAGAAUGUUAGUGGAAGUUUAUUGUAGACUAUUUGACAAUGAAUGUCAGUUGAUUUAUUAAAUGAAUUUUUUAAAGUACUUUUAUCCUUUUUAGGGCUGAUUGGGACUUUUAGGUCCCUGACAUAAAACAUUUCAAAUGAUUGGAAUGCUGGCUUCUCACUUCGCUCAUUGGAGUGUCCAUCUAGCUCUGCCUGAUGUUAGCACUCCUUUGAUGGUGUGGAAACGAGAUGCACAAAUCUUUCUCAAGUAGUGCAUGAGCAAAGUUGCUGUUUUCAGAAAAGAAAAAAAAUUCUAAAAAUUGCAACUAAUAAAGAACAAAGACAAGACUUUGAAGAAAGUGUGCCCUGUAUGUUAUUGCACACACUGUAAUGCAUGACUUUCAGCAUAAGGAUAACAUACGAUGCAAAAUAUUUCAUUCUGGAAAUCUCCACAGCUAGUUAAAAUAUUUGUAGAAGCUGCUUUGUGGAGACUUAGAAAAUCCCUUAUUUUAUUCAUUUUCUUAUCUCUCCAUUAAAGCACUAAUAUUUUAUACAGUUUCAGCAAGCAGGUUGACCAGUAUAUUUUAUGAACUCAGUUCCUAAUAUAUGGCUACUGGCUUUAUGCAUAGGAUCUCAGUAAACGCCACACAUAUAUAUCACUAUAUAAAUCCUAAUCAUCUGCUUUAAUAGAUGCAUAGUUCUUGGUUUAAAAUGUGAUAUGCAGAUAUUAAUUGUACAAUAUAUAUUUUGUGUCCAUGUAUUGAAUUUACUUAACAAAAAGGCCAUUAUAAAUAUAAGCCAUUUGUAACCUGAGUAUAAUUAGUUCAAAACAUUGUCUAGAAAGAUGAUUUGUAAAAAAUUUAGUCCAAUUUCAAAAGGGGGACAAAGAGGAACCAGGAACUCAAAAAAAGCAUUUUUAAGUAAAAUUGUAUCUUUAAAAAUUUCAGAUAAUUUCACACACAGUAACUUGCCCCUUUGAAGUAUAAAAUUCAGUGUUUUUAGUAUACUCAAUAUAUUGUACAUUGUCACUGUCUAACUUCAGAAUAUGUCAUUCCCCAAAGGCUCUGUAUCCAUUAGCAGCCAAACCUUCUCCUUCCACAGUAUCUGGGAACAAUCUAUCUGCUUUCUGACUAUGGAUUUGCCUUUCAUAUAAAUAUAAUUAGACAAUGUGGCCUCUUGUGCCUGGCUUCUAUUAAGGUUUUCAAGACUCAUCUGUAUUGUAGCAUGAGUCAGUAUGUUCUUUUUAUGGCUAAGUAAUAUUGUGUGUGUGUGUGUGUGUGUGUGUGUGUGUGUGUGUGUGUGUGAGAGAGAGAGAGAGAGAGAGAGAGAGAGAUUUUAUUUGCAAGUUAAUCAAAUAUUGGACAUUUAGAUUUUUUCUACUUUCUGGCUAGUAUAAGUAAUGCUGCUAGAACAUUUAUGUAAUUUUUGUAUGUGGUCAUGGUUUCUUUCACAUCUCAAAAACAGAUUAACAAAUUAAGUAAUUUGUAUUUAUUUAAAUAGAAUCUUUUUAAAGUCCUGCUUGGAGAAUGAAACUUAUGAUCUUGAUUAAAGUGGUCAAUUGAACUCUAGAAUAAUGCCUGUCAGGUAUGUCUGUAAGAAUAUUUUUGUGAGGAUGUCAUUUUGAUAUGGUUAUCAAUUUCAUGAGUCCUUGUAGAAAUUACAUUGUCUGAGAAUUUCAAAGUUCUCCACAUUCCUUGAAAGACAGCUAUCAAUCAUACUGGAGCGGGCACUCCUUAAACUUGGUAGGACCAUUCAGUCAAUGAAGGAGCAUUUUAAAGGUGUGGUUUCUUACAUUCUAACUAUCUCAACAUUUGCAUCUUGGAAAAAAGAUCAUCAAAUUGCCAAGCCUCCUGAGUGUUGUAGUUUAAGUUUUUAUUAUUAAGAAGUAAUUCAUAACGAGAGCAAAAGUGUCAAGAAUGUAUUUUGUGUGCAAAGAAUGAAUGUAUUUAACAAAAUCUUCUUAUUUGUAACAAUUUUUUUAAAAGUUGAAUGGAAAUUGAUUUCUCAUGUACUUGUACAUAAAUAAACAUUUCCUGUUGCCCCC